GACGAACGCUGGCGGCGUGCUUAACACAUGCAAGUCGAACGGAAAGGCCCUGCUUUUGUGGGGUGCUCGAGUGGCGAACGGGUGAGUAACACGUGAGUAACCUGCCCUUGACUUUGGGAUAACUUCAGGAAACUGGGGCUAAUACCGGAUAGGAGCUCCUGCUGCAUGGUGGGGGUUGGAAAGUUUCGGCGGUUGGGGAUGGACUCGCGGCUUAUCAGCUUGUUGGUGGGGUAGUGGCUUACCAAGGGUUUGACGGGUAGCCGGCCUGAGAGGGUGACCGGCGACAUUGGGACUGAGAGACGGACCAGAAUCCUACGGGAGGCAGCAGUGGGGAAUAUUGCACAAUGGGCGGAAGCCUGAUGCAGCAACGCCGCGUGCGGGAUGACGGCCUUCGAGUGGUAAACCGAUUUCGACGGUGACGAAGCGUGAGUGACGGUAAUGGGUAAAGAAGCACCGGCUAACUACGUG
This 468-nucleotide ribosomal RNA is filed under the name uncultured bacterium. RNAcentral describes it as "partial 16S ribosomal RNA". It matches the Rfam family "Bacterial small subunit ribosomal RNA", at positions 28 to 507 of the family's 1533-position model. The record is from RNAcentral.